This is a long non-coding RNA of Serinus canaria (Common canary), 1334 nucleotides long. RefSeq lists it as uncharacterized. The record is from RefSeq and is a predicted model, not a curated record. The transcript has 8 exons. Lineage: Eukaryota; Metazoa; Chordata; Aves; Passeriformes; Fringillidae.
GGCUGGUUUGAGAGUGCCAAGUACCUCCUGCAAACUGACACCAUGAACUAGGGUUGGAUGCCUCCCAGGAACAAGCUGGCACCAGUGCCAACUUGGGCUGGUUUGAGAGUGCCAAGUACCUCCUGCAAACUGACACCAUCAACUAGGGUUGGAUGCCUCCCAGGACCAAGCUGGCACCAGUGCCAACUUGGGCUGGUUUGAGAGUGCCAAGUACCUCCUGCAAACUGACACCAUGAACUAGGGUUGGUGAGUUUUAUUUCCCAGGGAAAAGGGGCGGUUUUUGUGUUCUAGGGGCUGUGGCUCAGAGCAGCCUUCUGGCUUUUAAAAUUCCGCAUAUCGCAGGAUGCCUCCCAGGACCAAGCUGGCACCAGUGCCAACUUGGGCUGGUUUGAGAGUGCCAAGUACCUCCUGAAAACUGACACCAUCAACUAGGGUUGGUGAGUUUUAUUUCCCAGGGAAAAGGGGCGGUUUUUGUGUUCUAGGGGCUGUGGCUCAGAGCAGCCUUCUGGCUUUUAAAAUUCCGCAUAUCGCAGGAUGCCUCCCAGGACCAAGCUGGCACCAGUGCCAACUUGGGCUGGUUUGAGAGUGCCAAGUACCUCCUGCAAACUGACACCAUCAACUAGGGUUGGUGAGUUUUGCUUACCUGGGAAAAGGGGCAGCGUUGGUGUUGCAGGGCCGUUGGCUCAGAGCAGCCUUCUGGCUCCUAAAAUUCCGCAUAUUGCAGGAUGCCUCCCAGGAACAAGCUGGCACCAGUGCCAAUUUAAGCUGGUUUGAGAGUGCCAAGUACCUCCUGAAAACUGACACCAUCAACUAGGGUUGGAUGCCUCCCAGGACCAAGCUGGCACCAGUGCCAAGUCAGGCUGGUUUGAGAGUGCCAAGUACCUCCUGCAAACUGACACCAUCAACUAGGGUUGGAUGCCUCCCAGGAACAAGCUGGCACCAGUGCCAACUUGGGCUGGUUUGAGAGUGCCAAGUACCUCCUGCAAACUGACACCAUCAACUAGGGUUGGAUGCCUCCCAGGAACAAGCUGGCACCAGUGCCAACUUGGGCUGGUUUGAGAGUGCCAAGUACCUCCUGCAAACUGACACCAUCAACUAGGGUUGGGGCUGUGGCUCAGAGCAGCCUUCUGGCUUUUAAAAUUCCGCAUAUCGCAGGAUGCCUCCCAGGACCAAGCUGGCACCAGUGCCAACUUGGGCUGGUUUGAGAGUGCCAAGUACCUCCUGAAAACUGACACCAUCAACUAGGGUUGGAUGCCUCCCAGGACCAAGCUGGCACCAGUGCCAACUUGGGCUGGUUUGAGAGUGCCAAGUACCUCCUGAAAACUGACACCAUG